RNAcentral lists this long non-coding RNA (227 nucleotides) under Sorghum bicolor (sorghum). RNAcentral describes it as "long non-coding RNA (SBIC_LNC000017)". Lineage: Eukaryota; Viridiplantae; Streptophyta; Magnoliopsida; Poales; Poaceae. The record is from RNAcentral.
GCCCGUCAACUUAAAAAUGUUGCUAUAUUAGACAUCAUAGUUGUUUAAUUAGAUAGUUAUGCUUUAGUAAAUUAUAUCUUAGUGUAUUAUACCCGUAAUAACUUUGGUGUUUUGCAUACCACCUAGAUGGACAACGUAGUCAAUAUUUUUUACGGCGGUAGUGUGGAGGAAGAUGAGUUUUGGAACGUUAGUUUUGUUGGAAUGCAAAGAGUGGCUCUCAUGUUUGA